GGAAGCUGGGAAGUCCAAGAUGAAGGUGCCAACAAGAUUCAGUGUCUGGUUCUGAUAAAAGAGAGAACUAGAGAAGGACAGUGAAAUGGGACAACAGACUUGCUCCUUUCAGUUUUGCCUGCUGUUCUUGUCAACAUUACUCUAGGAAUGACCCUUCACUGAAGCAGCAGCAGUGGGUUCCAGUCUUCACCUUCUUUGAGUGCUCCAGAACCAGCCUCCCUGUGUCCCUUAGAUGUACUCAUUUGGGCAGUGUCCCCUCCUCAGAGUUCUGAGGCCCAGCUCUGCCAAUCUUCUGAUACCUCUGUGUUCCCCUUUUUGCUUUUUGAAUUGUCCACUGCCUGUUUAACCAACUCCUUGUAUUAGACUCCAUGUCAAAACACCUAAAAUGAAUUCUAUUUUUCCAUGGAAGUGACUUUUAUUUUUCAGUGUCUUGAAAUCAGAAAUAAAUUGUCUGAAUCGGUU
RNAcentral lists this long non-coding RNA (462 nucleotides) under Homo sapiens (human). RNAcentral's name for it is "HSALNT0285504". Lineage: Eukaryota; Metazoa; Chordata; Mammalia; Primates; Hominidae. The record is from RNAcentral.